GCAGGGGCCCGGGGCGGGAGGCGGCGUCCGGCGCGGCGGCGGCGCUAGAGCGGCCUCAGACGCGGGAUCCGAGCGGCGGUUCGGGAUGUUUCGGGGCGACGUGAGCGGCUCGGGGUGCGGCCGUCGCCAGCCCGGAUGCCUCGCUGCAAGGAGCUGAUAUGAACGAAACACUACUGAAGGAUAACAGAGCCAUUGUCUUGCGUUUAAGUGGAAAGAGUAUUGCCCUAGCCAUAACUAAAGCUUAAGAAGAUGAAAUUAAAGGAAGAUUCAGAAUUAAGAAAAAU
This 284-nucleotide long non-coding RNA is filed under the name Dromaius novaehollandiae (emu). Its description in RNAcentral is "lncRNA (ENSDNVG00000011956.1)". Lineage: Eukaryota; Metazoa; Chordata; Aves; Casuariiformes; Dromaiidae. The record is from RNAcentral.